Molecule: microRNA precursor, 98 nt
Filed under: Carlito syrichta (Philippine tarsier)
Lineage: Eukaryota; Metazoa; Chordata; Mammalia; Primates; Tarsiidae
Description: microRNA 424 (ENSTSYG00000023722.2)
Rfam family: mir-322 microRNA precursor family (bases 1-84)
Source: RNAcentral
CGAGGGGAUGCAGCAGCAAUUCAUGUUUUGAAGUGCUCUAAAUGGUUCAAAACGUGAGGCGCUGCUAUACCCCCUCGCGGGCAGGGUGGAAGGUGGGG